CAGAAACAUUGUUCUGCAACAGACUACAAAAUAAAUAAAAUUCAUCCAGCUUUUCCUUCAAUAACUGCAACGUGCUGUGAUGGUGAUGGCAGGCACAGUUUCUGCCCUCUCCUGGGAUGCAUCUAGUGGGAGAGACUGAUAAGAGUGGGAACAGGAGAGGGAGCGUGAAGAAGGCUGUGAAAAUGGACAGGAUGGAAGGUCAUUAACAAGAAGCUGAAUAAGAAGUGGAGUAACUAGGACACGAAUCGGCGCCCAUAUGGAAUGCUGGUGUUGCAAGCAGUGGCUGUACCCGCUAUACCACAAUGCUGGCCCCUAAAUGAUCAUGUUUCUAAAAUUGUUUAAGAA
Non-coding RNA from Oryctolagus cuniculus (rabbit), 345 nucleotides. The record is from RefSeq and is a predicted model, not a curated record. NCBI's taxonomy places the organism in Eukaryota, Metazoa, Chordata, Mammalia, Lagomorpha, Leporidae.